This 70-nucleotide small nucleolar RNA is filed under the name Cucumis melo (muskmelon). RNAcentral describes it as "Small nucleolar RNA Z105". It matches the Rfam family "Small nucleolar RNA Z105". Rfam says of the family: This family consists of several snoRNA Z105 sequences which are members of the C/D class of snoRNA which contain the C (UGAUGA) and D (CUGA) box motifs. This family seems to be found exclusively in plants. RNAcentral also lists the same sequence under 1 other name. Lineage: Eukaryota; Viridiplantae; Streptophyta; Magnoliopsida; Cucurbitales; Cucurbitaceae. The record is from Rfam by way of RNAcentral.
GCAUAGUGAUGAUGAUUUAAACGUGUCCGAUCAACUUAUGACUGGAAUAUCAACCUCCUACUCAUACUGA